AAAGGAGGGCACUACUACUCAUGCCAGGGGGAACUUGGUCAAUGGCACAAGGGAGAUGGGUGGCACCUGAUGAAGGCUUGGAAUAAGCAACUAUUUGCCAGACUGUAUCCCAGCCACUAUUUUUCCCUCAACGUCACUAAAUGCAAGGGAAUAAUGAAACCACAGGAGAGAAAAAAGCAGCUGUCUGAAUAAAAGAAGAAAGAGGUAGAUG
RNAcentral lists this long non-coding RNA (211 nucleotides) under Pan troglodytes (chimpanzee). RNAcentral's name for it is "long non-coding RNA NONPTRT006864". The record is from RNAcentral. Lineage: Eukaryota; Metazoa; Chordata; Mammalia; Primates; Hominidae.